RNAcentral lists this ribosomal RNA (764 nucleotides) under uncultured bacterium. RNAcentral's name for it is "bacterial SSU rRNA". It matches the Rfam family "Bacterial small subunit ribosomal RNA", at positions 8 to 796 of the family's 1533-position model. The record is from RNAcentral.
AGAGUUUGAUCCUGGCUCAGAAUCAACGCUGGCGGCGCGCCUAACACAUGCAAGUCGAACGAGAACGGCUUCAGCAAUGGGGCCUAGUACAGUGGCGAACGGGUGAGUAACACGUGGGUAAUCUACCUUCAAGUGGGGGAUAACCCGGGGAAACCUGGGCUAAUACCGCAUAAUAUCCGCAAGGAUCAAAGGAGCAAUUCGCUCGAAGAUGAGCCCGCGGCCGAUUAGCUAGUUGGCGGGGUAACGGCCCACCAAGGCUCUGAUCGGUAGCCGGUCUGAGAGGACGCACGGCCACACUGGAACUGAAACACGGUCCAGACUCCUACGGGAGGCAGCAGUGGGGAAUCUUGCACAAUGGGGGAAACCCUGAUGCAGCGACGCCGCGUGGGUGAUGAAGCUCUUCGGAGUGUAAAGCCCUUUCGGCAGGGAAGAGAUAAGACGGUACCUGCAAAAGAAGCCCCGGCUAACUACGUGCCAGCAGCCGCGGUAAUACGUAGGGGGCCAGCGUUGUUCGGAAUUACUGGGCGUAAAGAGUGCGUAGGCGGUGCGGUGUGUUCGGUGUGAAAUCUCCCGGCUCAACCGGGAGGGGCCAUCGAAAACUGCCGCGCUUCGGGUACGGGAGAGGGGAGUGGAAUUCCCGGUGUAGCGGUGAAAUGCGUAGAGAUCGGGAGGAACACCAGCGACGAAGGUGGCUCCCUGGACCGUUACCGACGCUGAGGCACGAAAGCUAGGGGAGCAAACAGGAUUAGAUACCCUAGUAGUCC